RNAcentral lists this ribosomal RNA (379 nucleotides) under Henicops maculatus. RNAcentral's name for it is "eukaryotic LSU rRNA". It matches the Rfam family "Eukaryotic large subunit ribosomal RNA", at positions 666 to 925 of the family's 3401-position model. Lineage: Eukaryota; Metazoa; Arthropoda; Chilopoda; Lithobiomorpha; Henicopidae. The record is from RNAcentral.
CCAAGGAGUCUAACAUGUGCGCGAGUCGGUGAGAUUUAUGUCAAGUGUACGAGACUCACAGGCGCAAUGAAAGUGAAGGCGUUGCCCUUAAUGCUACACUGAAAAGUGCGGUAGAUGAUGGGAGUAGCGCUAAGGCAGGAUCUGAAAAUUUUUAAACAAAUUUUCCGUCUCGUUGCCUUAAGCAAGCGGCGAGGACGGCAGCGCACUGCCAGCCCAUCGCGAUCGUUUAUCAAGUCGAUGCGGUGGAGCAUGAGCACACACGUUGGGACCCGAAAGAUGGUGAUCUAUGCUUGAGCAGGACGAAGCCAGAGGAAACUCUGGUGGAGGUCCGUAGCGAUUCUGACGUGCAAAUCGAUCGUCGGACNUGAGUAUAGGGGCG